UCCGUAGGCGGGCGAUUAAGUCAGAGGUGAAAUCCCACAGCUUAACUGUGGAACUGCCUUUGAUACCGGUCGUCUUGAGUUAUAGUGAAGUAGAUAGAAUAUGUAGUGUAGCGGUGAAAUGCUUAGAUAUUACAUAGAAUACCGAUUGCGAAGGCAGUCUACUAACUAUAUACUGACGCUAAUGGACGAAAGCGUGGGGAGCGAACAGGAUUAGAUACCCUGGUAGUCC
Molecule: ribosomal RNA, 229 nt
Filed under: uncultured bacterium
Lineage: Bacteria
Description: partial 16S ribosomal RNA
Rfam family: Bacterial small subunit ribosomal RNA
Source: RNAcentral